Molecule: ribosomal RNA, 433 nt
Filed under: uncultured bacterium
Lineage: Bacteria
Description: partial 16S ribosomal RNA
Rfam family: Bacterial small subunit ribosomal RNA
Source: RNAcentral
AACGAACGCUGGCGGCAUGCCUAACACAUGCAAGUCGAACGAGACCUUCGGGUCUAGUGGCGCACGGGUGCGUAACGCGUGGGAACCUGCCCUUAGGUUCGGAAUAACUCCCCGAAAGGGGUGCUAAUACCGGAUCAUGUCUUCGGACCAAAGAUUUAUCGCCUUUGGAUGGGCCCGCGUUGGAUUAGCUAGUUGGUAGGGUAAAAGCCUACCAAGGCGACGAUCCAUAGCUGGUCUGAGAGGAUGAGCAGCCACACUGGGACUGAGACACGGCCCAGACUCCUACGGGAGGCAGCAGUGGGGAAUAUUGGACAAUGGGCGAAAGCCUGAUCCAGCAAUGCCGCGUGAGUGAUGAAGGCCUUAGGGUUGUAAAGCUCUUUUACCCGGGAUGAUAAUGACAGUACCGGGAGAAUAAGCUCCGGCUAACUCCGUG